This 274-nucleotide ribosomal RNA is filed under the name uncultured bacterium. Its description in RNAcentral is "partial 16S ribosomal RNA". It matches the Rfam family "Archaeal small subunit ribosomal RNA", at positions 473 to 747 of the family's 1478-position model. The record is from RNAcentral.
AAACCAGCACCUCAAGUGGUCAGGAGGAUUAUUGGGCCUAAAGCAUCCGUAGCCUGUUCUGUAAGUUUUCGGUUAAAUCCACUAGCUCAACUAGUGGGCUGCCGAAAAUACUGUAGAACUAGGGAGUGGGAGAGGUAGACGGUAUUCGGUAGGAAGGGGUAAAAUCCUUUGCUCUAUUGAGGACCACCUGUGGCGAAGGCGGUCUACCAGAACACGAUCGACGGUGAGGGAUGAAAGCUGGGGGAGCAAACCGGAUUAGAAACCCCGGUAGUCC